Molecule: ribosomal RNA, 677 nt
Filed under: uncultured bacterium
Lineage: Bacteria
Description: bacterial SSU rRNA
Rfam family: Bacterial small subunit ribosomal RNA
Source: RNAcentral
AGAGUUUGAUCAUGGCUCAGAACGAACGCUGGCGGCAGGCCUCAUACAUGCAAGUCGAGCGGACUGUAGCAAUACAGUCAGCGGCGAACGGGUGAGUAACAGGUGGAUAAUCUACCUUUUGGCGGGGGAUAACGGCUGGAAACGGCCGCUAAUACCGCAUAAGAUUGCCGGGCCCUUGGGCCUGGCAAAGAAAGGCGCUGCAAGGCGUCACCAAAAGAUGAGUCCGCCCCCCAUUAGCUAGUUGGCGGGAUAAUAGCCCACCAAGGCAUCGAUGGGUAGCCGAGCUGAGAGGUUGAUCGGCCACACUGGAACUGAGACACGGUCCAGACACCUACGGGUGGCAGCAGUAGGGAAUAUUGCGCAAUGGGCGAAAGCCUGACGCAGCCAUGCCGCGUGAGUGAUGAAGGCCUUCGGGUCGUAAAGCUCUUUUCUGAGGGAAGAACAUCUGGCGCAGGAAAUGGCGCCGGUUUGACGGUACCUCAGGAAUAAGGAACGGCUAACUCCGUGCCAGCAGCCGCGGUAAUACGGAGGUUCCUAGCGUUGUUCGGAAUUACUGGGCGUAAAGGGAGCGCAGGCGGAUGAUCAAGUCUAAAGUGGAAUCCCGGGGCUUAACCCCGGAAGUGCUUUGGAUACUAGUCGUCUUGAGUUCGUGAGAGGAAGGCGGAAUUCAGGGUGUA